Molecule: ribosomal RNA, 253 nt
Filed under: uncultured bacterium
Lineage: Bacteria
Description: partial 16S ribosomal RNA
Rfam family: Bacterial small subunit ribosomal RNA
Source: RNAcentral
UACGGAGGGUGCAAGCGUUAUCCGGAUUCACUGGGUUUAAAGGGUGCGUAGGUGGGAAUGUAAGUCAGUGGUGAAAUCUCCGUGCUUAACAUGGAAACUGCCAUUGAUACUAUGUUUCUUGAAUUUUCUGGAGGUAAGCGGAAUAUGUCAUGUAGCGGUGAAAUGCUUAGAUAUGACAUAGAACACCAAUUGCGAAGGCAGCUUGGUACAGGGAUAUUGACACUGAGGCACGAAAGCGUGGGGAGCAAACAGG